CUACGGGAGGCAGCAGUGGGGAAUAUUGCACAAUGGGCGCAAGCCUGAUGCAGCCAUGCCGCGUGUAUGAAGAAGGCCUUCGGGUUGUAAAGUACUUUCAGCGGGGAGGAAGGGAGUAAAGUUAAUACCUUUGCUCAUUGACGUUACCCGCAGAAGAAGCACCGGCGAACUCCGUGCCAGCAGCCGCGGUAAUACGGAGGGUGCAAGCGUUAAUCGGAAUUACUGGGCGUAAAGCGCACGCAGGCGGUUUGUUAAGUCAGAUGUGAAAUCCCCGGGCUCAACCUGGGAACUGCAUCUGAUACUGGCAAGCUUGAGUCUCGUAGAGGGGGGUAGAAGUCCAGGUGUAGCGGUGAAAUGCGUAGAGAUCUGGAGGAAUACCGGUGGCGAAGGCGGCCCCCUGGACGAAGACUGACGCUCAGGUGCGAAAGCGUGGGGAGCAAACAGGAUUAGAUACCCGAGUAGUC
RNAcentral lists this ribosomal RNA (464 nucleotides) under uncultured bacterium. Its description in RNAcentral is "partial 16S ribosomal RNA". It matches the Rfam family "Bacterial small subunit ribosomal RNA", at positions 339 to 795 of the family's 1533-position model. The record is from RNAcentral.